Molecule: non-coding RNA, 273 nt
Organism: Vicia faba (fava bean)
Lineage: Eukaryota; Viridiplantae; Streptophyta; Magnoliopsida; Fabales; Fabaceae
Source: the annotation of a GenBank genome assembly
AUGGAGAAAACAACAUCAAUAGUGAGAAACUCAGUGAAGACACAGUGUUUGUUGCGGUGGUAUGCGUUGUUACAAGUGCGAGAUGACGAUGCUUGCAGCGGUCAUGAUUCAGAGAAGAUGAUUGAAGCAAUUAUUGCCGAGAGAAAAUUGAAGAGUGAACUCAGAAAGAAUUCGAAGAGUAGAAACAGAGAGAUGAGAGAGUUUUCUGUGAAUUUUUGUGGUGUGAUUCUUCUGAACGUGAAGAAUUAUUCAAGGUUUUGUGUAUUCUCUUGA